AUAAUGCAAGUCGAGCGGACGGAUGGGAGCUUGCUCCCUGAAGUCAGCGGCGGACGGGUGAUUAACACGUGGGCAACCUGCCUGUAAGACUGGGAUAACUCCGGGAAACCGGGGCUAAUACCGGAUAACUCUUUUCCUCACAUGAGGAAAAGCUGAAAGAUGGUUUCGGCUAUCACUUACAGAUGGGCCCGCGGCGCAUUAGCUAGUUGGUGAGGUAACGGCUCACCAAGGCCACGAUGCGUAGCCGACCUGAGAGGGUGAUCGGCCACACUGGGACUGAGACACGGCCCAGACUCCUACGGGAGGCAGCAGUAGGGAAUCUUCCGCAAUGGACGAAAGUCUGACGGAGCAACGCCGCGUGAGUGAUGAAGGUUUUCGGAUCGUAAAACUCUGUUGUCAGGGAAGAACAAGUACCGGAGUAACUGCCGGUACCUUGACGGUACCUGACCAGAAAGCCACGGCUAACUACGUGCCAGCAGCCGCGGUAAUACGUAGGUGGCAAGCGUUGUCCGGAAUUAUUGGGCGUAAAGCGCGCGCAGGCGGUUCCUUAAGUCUGAUGUGAAAGCCCCCGGCUCAACCGGGGAGGGUCAUUGGAAACUGGGGGAACUUGAGUGCAGAAAGAGAAGAGUGGAAUUCCACGUGUAGCGGUGAAAUGCGUAGAGAUGUGGAAGGAACACCAGUGGCGAAGGCGACUCUUUGGUCUGUA
This 706-nucleotide ribosomal RNA is filed under the name Cytobacillus firmus. RNAcentral's name for it is "bacterial SSU rRNA". It matches the Rfam family "Bacterial small subunit ribosomal RNA", at positions 51 to 738 of the family's 1533-position model. Lineage: Bacteria; Bacillati; Bacillota; Bacilli; Caryophanales; Bacillaceae. The record is from RNAcentral.